AGCAAAGAGGACAGAGAGAGAGAGAGAGAGAGAGAGAGAAGCAGGGCUCAUGCAAAGCGGGGCUGGUGCUCACUUGAGGCGGGGCUUGAAUUCAUUGUGAGAUCAUGACCUGAGCCGAAGUCAGUUGCUUAACCAAUUGAGCCACCCAUGUGCCCUGGUUUAUAUCUUUAAAAGAUUGUUCUGGCUGCUGUGGGACAAUGUAGAAUACUUCUCUGGAGGAUGAAUCCUGGAACCCGAAACCUCAGCUUGAUUUCUCUCUUGCUGCUGAGUUUCGAUCAGGCCAUAGCCAAGGCAUAGAAUAAGACAGAUGGAGUCUCAGCUCUCAUGAAGAUUGCACACCAGUUGGGGAGACAGGCAACAAUCAAGGAUACACAUAUGCAAACAAGGCCUUUGGACUCAUGCUGGAAUUAAGCCAUUGGCUCUCCUGGAUCUCCAGCCUCCUGACUCAUCCUGCAAACCUUGGGACUUGCCUGCCUCCAUAACCACUUGAGUCAGUUCCUUAUAAUAAAUCUUUG
Panthera uncia (snow leopard) is the source of this 515-nucleotide long non-coding RNA. RefSeq lists it as uncharacterized. The record is from RefSeq and is a predicted model, not a curated record. The transcript has 4 exons. NCBI's taxonomy places the organism in Eukaryota, Metazoa, Chordata, Mammalia, Carnivora, Felidae.